AAAGGGAAAUAAUCGCAGCAAAAAAUAAUAUAAAAUAAACAAAAUAAAGAGUAACAAAAUAAAAAUAGUAAAAAAAUAAUUAUGACUUAGGAACAUACUUAAAUAUGUCUAAAGAAGAAGCAGCUAAGCCGGCGGAAUAAAUUCCCGCUAUUGGGGUACCUACUUACUACCAAGUGCAUUUCCAAUCAGGAUUCAAAGCAGAAAAGGCAUUUACUUACAUGCCCGUUUUCCCGCUGAGCCACACGAUUUGCUAUGUAAAGAACCAGUAAGAACACCCAGAGAAUGAAUAUCUAAUGCACGCUUACCAUGCAUAUUGCAUAACGAUUCGACCUCGUCGCUCUGCCACGUAACGGCAUCGUCAUAGUGCCACACGGUGCACAGUGGAAUGCAUUUAGAAAUGAUAUCAGUUAUGUUAAAUGUGGUUAAUUUUACAUACAAAAGCGACAUCCAAGCUAACUUAUCAUCUUUCUAAGCCCAUUCACAAAUAAGCCGGCCUUGGUGACCUUGUUUAACCAGUUUUCUUCCAAUGCCAGCUUUCUUGCGGACGAUAGAAUGCUCGGAACCGGAUAGAUUACAAGACUCUCCCACCUUCCGCCAUUUACGGCUCGCACAGAAAGUUUGUGCGUGUGGCUCGUGGGAUGGAAGCCUCAGCGAGGGCGCGGUACCGGUAUAUAAGCCGGAAAGUCUGAGUUCCGGGGCACACUGCCAGGUCUUCCAUCUCUGCGUGAGCACGCACGGCUAGCUGGGCUCGAAGGACGAUAUGCUGACCCAUCUGACCAUCACGUUCGUCGCCCUCACUGUGGCUGUAGCAGCGGAGCCGCUGGACCUUUCAAGAGAAGAAAGGGGAGCACUGUUCAUUCGCCUUCCAGCACCGUAUGGUACCAGUCCGGUUAAGCAUGCUACGACCCGCAGAUUAGCGAACACCACAGCGUCGGAGAUGUCUGGUCGUCGCCCAACUCGGGCUGUAAGCUGAGCACCUGUGUCAACAUCAACGGCGUCCUCAACGUGGAACGAUAUUCAUGCCCGAUAGUUGGCAAAAAUGUCGACUUCACCCGACUGAAGAAAGAAAACUACUUCUGUCGCGAGGCCGCCGGUGACAGGAACAAGCAGUUCCCUUCGUGUUGCCCCUCUCUGCAGUGCAAACACUACGUGGAGGGCAAGCUGGUGCCGCUGCCCAAGCACAUGUACCCCACGCUGCGGUAACCCUCUGUGGAUGGGGAAAGCAGCCGUCGUGUGUCGAAGUCUUCUUCAGAUGAUUGUUUGAAAGCUGACGUUAAAUGUUGUUACACUGAUGUUGCAGUGACGCUAGCAGUGGGGAUAUAAACAUUUUUCAAUAUUGUAUGGGUGUUUCCAGUGAAUGUUUUCUAAUAUCAUCACUUAUCCCUAUUCGUGCAAUGCUGGUUAACCUGUUGAGAUUUGUAAGUAUAUGCGGAUAAAUGAUAGUAUGCCUACUGCCGAUUACAUUGCCAAUGAUGUGUUUAUUGAGCUCAUUUUAGCAGUCCAGUGUUAAGUGUUACAGGUGUUGCACUGAACUUGCAAUGCUACAAUCGAUGCUAGAAAUGAGUGAAACAGUACAAAUGGAAAAUAAAGACGAUACUAAAGUGAUAUUUUGAUUGUC
This 1618-nucleotide long non-coding RNA is filed under the name Amphibalanus amphitrite. RNAcentral's name for it is "uncharacterized LOC122394648". The record is from RNAcentral. Lineage: Eukaryota; Metazoa; Arthropoda; Thecostraca; Balanomorpha; Balanidae.